AGAGUUUGAUCCUGGCUCAGAACGAACGCUGGCGGCAUGCCUAACACAUGCAAGUCGAACGAAGGCUUCGGCCUUAGUGGCGCACGGGUGCGUAACGCUGGGAACCUGCCCUUGGUUCGGAAUAACAGUUAGAAAUGACUGCUAAUACCGGAUAAUGACUUCGGUCCAAAGAUUUAUCGCCGAGGGAUGGGCCCGCGUAGGAUUAGCUUGUUGGUGGGGUAAAGGCCUACCAAGGCGACGAUCCUUAGCUGGUCUGAGGGGAUGAUCAGCCACACUGGGACUGAGACACGGCCCAGACUCCUACGGGAGGCAGCAGUGGGGAAUAUUGGACAAUGGGCGAAAGCCUGAUCCAGCAAUGCCGCGUGAGUGAUGAAGGCCUUAGGGUUGUAAAGCUCUUUUACCAGGGAUGAUAAUGACAGUACCUGGAGAAUAAGCUCCGGCUAACUCCGUG
RNAcentral lists this ribosomal RNA (451 nucleotides) under uncultured Sphingomonadaceae bacterium. RNAcentral's name for it is "bacterial SSU rRNA". It matches the Rfam family "Bacterial small subunit ribosomal RNA", at positions 8 to 507 of the family's 1533-position model. Lineage: Bacteria; Pseudomonadati; Pseudomonadota; Alphaproteobacteria; Sphingomonadales; Sphingomonadaceae. The record is from RNAcentral.